GACGAACGCUGGCGGCGUGCUUAACACAUGCAAGUCGUACGGUAAGGCCCUUUCGGGGGUACACGAGUGGCGAACGGGUGAGUAACACGUGAGUAACCUGCCCACAACUUUGGGAUAACGCUAGGAAACUGGUGCUAAUACUGGAUAUGUGCUCCUGCUGCAUGGUGGGGGUUGGAAAGCUCCGGCGGUUGUGGAUGGACUCGCGGCCUAUCAGCUUGUUGGUGGGGUAGUGGCCUACCAAGGCGGCGACGGGUAGCCGGCCUGAGAGGGUGACCGGCCACAUUGGGACUGAGAUACGGCCCAGCCUCCUACGGGAGGCAGCAGUGGGGAAUAUUGCACAAUGGGCGCAAGCCUGAUGCAGCAACGCCGCGUGCGGGAUGACGGCCUUCGGGUUGUAAACCGCUUUCAGCAGGGACGAAGCUUUUUGUGACGGUACCUGCAGAAGAAGCACCGGCUAACUACGCG
This 465-nucleotide ribosomal RNA is filed under the name uncultured bacterium. RNAcentral's name for it is "partial 16S ribosomal RNA". It matches the Rfam family "Bacterial small subunit ribosomal RNA", at positions 28 to 507 of the family's 1533-position model. The record is from RNAcentral.